Molecule: ribosomal RNA, 373 nt
Filed under: uncultured organism
Description: bacterial SSU rRNA
Rfam family: Bacterial small subunit ribosomal RNA
Source: RNAcentral
CGGAGGGAGCGAGCGUUGUCCGAAGUUACUGGGCGUAAAGCGCGCGUAGGCGGGGGAUUAAGUGAGAAGUGAAAGGCUGGGGCUCAACCCCAUGCAGUGCUUCUCAUACUGGUCCUCUUGAGGGUGGUAGAGAGAAGUGGAAUGGCUGGUGUAGCGGUGAAAUGCGUAGAUAUCAGUCGGAACACCGGUGGCGAAGGCGGCUUCUUGGGCCAUUUCUGACGCUGAGGCGCGAAAGCUAGGGGAGCGAACGGGAUUAGAUACCCCGGUAGUCCUAGCCGUAAACGAUGGAUACUAGGUGUCGGGGGUAUCGACCCCUCCGGUGCCGCAGCUAACGCACUAAGUAUCCCGCCUGGGGAGUACGGCCGCAAGGUUG